RNAcentral lists this long non-coding RNA (992 nucleotides) under Fukomys damarensis (Damara mole-rat). RNAcentral describes it as "lncRNA (ENSFDAG00000033448.1)". The record is from RNAcentral. Lineage: Eukaryota; Metazoa; Chordata; Mammalia; Rodentia; Bathyergidae.
UUCUAAAAGCGCGAGGGGGGAGGUUUGGGGGGUUCGGGGGUGCCCGCGCGGCUACCUUUCUAGGGCUGAAGCUGGCGGCAGUGGUGCCAGCAGGGGAGGCCCGGCCAAGAAGACCCUCUGGUGCUGAAAAUGUCGGAACGCAGCCUGCAGGAGAGGUCGCCGAGAAGACCCUCUGGUGCUAAAGAUGGCGGGAAAUCUGCCGGGGAGGGCGAGGCGAGAAGACCCUCCGUCGCUGAAAAUGGCCGACGCAGCCUGCAGGAGUGGGCGGGGCCGAGAAGACCCUCUGGCGCCAUGGGAACGCUGCGGGGAGGGCGUGGCCGAGAAGGCCCUCUGGUGCUGAAGAUGGCGGAACACCUAUAUCAAGGCAGUAUCUGCCCGGCUCCGGGGAGGCUCAGCGACCUGGGACCCGCUGUUGACUAUGCGACACACACCAAGAGCAGAUGGAUUUCGAGUGAUUUCUCCUUUCUUCCUCCUAAAAUGUCCCCAAAUAAACUUGAAAGGGGAAGUAUAGCAAAAUAAAGAACGAAAAACUGCCUUGAAGAAGGGCAUUGUUCUAUGAUCGCUUCACUUAUUAUCUGCUCCUUUAUUGACUCGUUAUAAUCCAGUUUCCACUGGGUGUAUAAUUCGAUGACAAAAGAAAAAGAUGUGCUCAGUGCUAGAGCACCCCAGAACAACCUUCCUCACCAGCCCCUUGACUGUGGCAAGUUGGAGUAGAGGAAGUUUUCCUAAAUGGGGGUUGGGGAUUGAUUCAUCAAAAAGGAAGAAGGAGACACUAUCCUGGAUAUUUUAAUAGUAACUGGAACAAAGAUGACUCGAACCCCAUCAAAUGAAACAAUACUAUUUUCAUUCAGUUGAUUGCAAAGUGUCUUCGAUUAAUAACUUGGCACUUAUUUAAAAAGAUUUAACAGAGGUGAAGCCGAAAAUUUUGUACUGACAACACGUCAUGAGAUAACAGCAUCUUUUGUUUAAAAUAACUUAAUACACUAGAAAAA